AUUGAACGCUGGCGGCAGGCUUAACACAUGCAAGUCGAGCGGGGGAAGGUAGCUUGCUACUGGACCUAGCGGCGGACGGGUGAGUAACACGUGAGUAACCUGCCCCUGACUCUGGGAUAAGCGUUGGAAACGACGUCUAAUACUGGAUAUGACUACUGGUCGCAUGGCCUGGUGGUGGAAAGAUUUUUUGGUUGGGGAUGGACUCGCGGCCUAUCAGCUUGUUGGUGAGGUAAUGGCUCACCAAGGCGACGACGGGUAGCCGGCCUGAGAGGGUGACCGGCCACACUGGGACUGAGACACGGCCCAGACUCCUACGGGAGGCAGCAGUGGGGAAUAUUGCACAAUGGGCGAAAGCCUGAUGCAGCAACGCCGCGUGAGGGAUGACGGCCUUCGGGUUGUAAACCUCUUUUAGUAGGGAAGAAGCGAAAGUGACGGUACCUGCAGAAAAAGCACCGGCUAACUACGUGCCAGCCGCCGCAGUAA
Molecule: ribosomal RNA, 483 nt
Filed under: uncultured bacterium
Lineage: Bacteria
Description: partial 16S ribosomal RNA
Rfam family: Bacterial small subunit ribosomal RNA
Source: RNAcentral